RNAcentral lists this ribosomal RNA (484 nucleotides) under uncultured bacterium. RNAcentral's name for it is "partial 16S ribosomal RNA". It matches the Rfam family "Bacterial small subunit ribosomal RNA", at positions 30 to 507 of the family's 1533-position model. The record is from RNAcentral.
AUUGAACGCUGGCGGCAGGCCUAACACAUGCAAGUCGAGCGGAUGAAGGGAGCUUGCUCCUGGAUUCAGCGGCGGACGGGGGAGUAAUGCCUAGGAAUACGCCUGGUAGUGGGGGAUAACGUCCGGAAACGGGCGCUAAUACCGCAUACGACCAGAGGGAGAAAGAGGGGGGUCUUCGGAAAGCACGCUAUCAGAUGAGCCUAGGUGGGGUUAGCUAGUUGGUGGGGUAAAGGCCUACCAAGGCGAGGAUCCGUAAGUGGUCUGAGUGGAUGGUCACUCACACUGGAACUGAGACAGCGUCCAGACUCCUACGGUAGGCAGCAGUGUGGAAUAUUGGACAAUGGGCGAAAGCCUGAUCCAGCCGUGCCGCGUGUGUUAAGAAGGUCUUCGGAGUGUAAAGCACGUUAAGUUGGGAGGAAGGGCAUUAAGUUAAUACCUAGCUGGUUUGACGUUACCGACAGAAUAAGCACCGGCUAACUUCGUG